UCCCUGGUGGUCCAGUGGUUAGGAUUCAGUGCUUUAACUGUUGUGACCUGGGUUCAAACCCUGGUUGGUGAG
Molecule: transfer RNA, 72 nt
Filed under: Bos taurus (domestic cattle)
Lineage: Eukaryota; Metazoa; Chordata; Mammalia; Artiodactyla; Bovidae
Also listed under: 4 other names
Rfam family: tRNA
About the family: Transfer RNA (tRNA) molecules are approximately 80 nucleotides in length. Their secondary structure includes four short double-helical elements and three loops (D, anti-codon, and T loops). Further hydrogen bonds mediate the characteristic L-shaped molecular structure. tRNAs have two regions of fundamental functional importance: the anti-codon, which is responsible for specific mRNA codon recognition, and the 3' end, to which the tRNAs corresponding amino acid is attached (by aminoacyl-tRNA synthetases). tRNAs cope with the degeneracy of the genetic code in two manners: having more than one tRNA (with a specific anti-codon) for a particular amino acid; and 'wobble' base-pairing, i.e. permitting non-standard base-pairing at the 3rd anti-codon position.
Source: Rfam by way of RNAcentral